Long non-coding RNA from Stomoxys calcitrans (stable fly), 374 nucleotides. RefSeq lists it as uncharacterized. Lineage: Eukaryota; Metazoa; Arthropoda; Insecta; Diptera; Muscidae. The record is from RefSeq and is a predicted model, not a curated record. The transcript is spliced from 2 exons.
UUGAGAAAUCAGCAUUGUUGCGGACAGCAUUGAUACAGUCGUUCAAAUUCAUUCCAAGAUGAGAUUGUUGUCAUUCUUAUUUUUAGUCAUUGUGUGUGGUCUAUACGUGGUUGCCUUCAAAGCUGAGGCAGCUGCGGUUCCAGACCAAAACACAGAUCUACAACACCCAGACCCAAACUCAGACCAAAAGCCAGAACAACUGCCAGACAUGGACCAAAAUUUAGACACUGAUUCCACUGUUAAUCCCGAUGAUGCGAACAAUGUCAAACGUAAUUAUUAUAAAUUAUGUGAUUGGUGACGGGUAGAGCGAGUGCGUUAUUUUUAAAUUCAAUAAAUUAUUGUGUGAAUCAUCGCGCAUCAUGUAUUCAAGCUAA